CUGACUCCUGACUUCCCACCCUGGGGCAG
This 29-nucleotide non-coding RNA is filed under the name Mus musculus (house mouse). The record is from RNAcentral. Lineage: Eukaryota; Metazoa; Chordata; Mammalia; Rodentia; Muridae.